Papaver somniferum (opium poppy) is the source of this 1278-nucleotide long non-coding RNA. RefSeq lists it as uncharacterized. Lineage: Eukaryota; Viridiplantae; Streptophyta; Magnoliopsida; Ranunculales; Papaveraceae. The transcript has 5 exons. The record is from RefSeq and is a predicted model, not a curated record.
CUGGGUCCGUCGAUUCGACAGAUGGAUCAUCAGAGCAGUUGUUUUUUACAUGAGUCUUAUAAAAGCCGCUUUUCUUUCUCCGAUCCUUCUCCUAUUCUUCUCUCUUCAACACACAUAAUCGUAAUUCUGUUUAAUUUUUUCAAUUUAGUUUUGCAUAGUUCGCGGAUUGUUUCUCAUAGGAAGAUAUUGUAGUGCUUCGAGGAGGUUUGGGUGCAAAUAGUGCAAAUAAACUUGAUUCUGGCCCCUCUGCAUAUUCUUCCUUUAAUUGGAGGAUAGACAAGGGGCCUUGAUGCAAUUGUCGGUGCUCUAGAAAGGGACAACAGUUACAUCGCCUGAUUAAUUUCCUAGAGACGUUCUUGCAUUUGUCCACGGGAAACACUCCAAGAUGACAGGGUCAAUGGACGAGCAUUACCGGGUACCGGAGGUCCCGGUUUCCAUUCACGCUAAUACCUGAAAAACUGUCAGUGGGGGAAAUUACUGGACUAAAGUUUCUAAUAACAAUGUAACAAAUCUCCAGCAUUCGCCGAAAGUAAGCACAAGAUUUAUUUCUCAUGUAUUUACCUAAUCACGUAGUUAAGUCUCUCUUUUUUUUCCCCACUCAUACUUACACAAGAUUGUGGAUUUAGUUGCGGUGCAGAUGUUUCAUAUGGUUAUCACUAACCAAAAACAACACUCCCCCUUUCCUUUCAAGGCAAAUAUUUUCCCUUCUAUUGAGAUUUAUGUACUCAGGAAACCCUUGAUGUCACUAACAAGAUGAGUAAUGGUGAUAUAAAUGAUCUACAAAAUAAUAAUGUCACGACCUUGAUAUAGUCAUCAUAGGAUUUUUUGGCAGUUGAUGGGAACAUUUUGUUGCGUCAAAGGGAUUUUAGCGAUAAUUGUAGAUAUUAUUCUAUGAGUUUUUGCUCAUUAGAUUAUGAUUUGGUGUUCCUGCUGAUUUCGGUAAUUCAUUUUGCAGAUGUGAGGUGUAGACCACAUCUCUGAGCUCAUUUUGUUGAAAUUUUCUAUCAAUUGUCAUAGUACUGAUUGAACACCCUCAUCUAUCUAUAGAAAGGAAACCAUUCAUUUAUGUUUGUGUAGUUAUAUUUUGGGUGAUAGGACCACUGCGUUAAUCAAGGACCAGUGGUUGAAGAAGGAUCAAAAGGAAUAGCAGUGCGAAGCGGUGAAGGAUGGGUUUCACUAAUCCUGAUUUUUCACAGAGUUUACACCCCUCUGGAUGGCGACAGUCAUGCCUGAGGUGGUGUUAGGUUUGCUGACGGGUUAAUGUAAACAGGGAAAAUC